Long non-coding RNA from Mauremys mutica (yellowpond turtle), 402 nucleotides. RefSeq lists it as uncharacterized. The transcript is spliced from 3 exons. NCBI's taxonomy places the organism in Eukaryota, Metazoa, Chordata, Testudines, Geoemydidae. The record is from RefSeq and is a predicted model, not a curated record.
UAUUCUUACCUGUAAGCUUUUGUCUCCUGCCCCCAUCAAACAUAGUUUAAAGUCUGCCUCACUAGGUGAGCCAGUCUCUUUCCGAAAAUACUCUUUCCCCUUCCUUGAUAGGUGGACCUCAUCUCUGCUCAGAAGUCCUUCUUGGAACAGCAUCCCAUGGCCGAAGAAGCCAAAGAUGAGUACUUCUCACAAAGGUGGCAUUGUGUAAAAUUAUAAGCUUGUCAUGAAAGUGACUGCCUGAUUCCCCCUUCGUCUGUUUGAACAGCACUUAAUACAAAGAGACCUUUAGGUUACAUUUGUGAGUGAUAAUACCAUACAGAAAGAUCAAAACAACCUACAAAUAUUAAUUGGGGGACUCUACGCCUGCUUAUGCUUCUUCGUGAUGGAUCUUUGCUUUUCUAG